Molecule: ribosomal RNA, 253 nt
Filed under: uncultured bacterium
Lineage: Bacteria
Description: partial 16S ribosomal RNA
Rfam family: Bacterial small subunit ribosomal RNA
Source: RNAcentral
UACGAGAGGCCCAACCGUUAUUCGGAAUUACUGGGCUUAAAGAGUCCGUAGGCGGCGCAGCAAGUAGGGUGUGAAAGCCCUCGGCUUAACCGAGGAAUUGCGCUCUAAACUACUGUGCUUGAGGAACCUAGAGGUGAGCGGAACUGAUGGUGGAGCGGUGAAAUGCGUUGAUAUCAUCAGGAACACCGGAGGCGAAGGCGGCUCACUGGGGGUUAUCUGACGCUGAGGGACGAAAGCCAGGGGAGCGAACGGG